RNAcentral lists this small nuclear RNA (107 nucleotides) under Cervus hanglu yarkandensis (Yarkand deer). Lineage: Eukaryota; Metazoa; Chordata; Mammalia; Artiodactyla; Cervidae. The record is from RNAcentral.
GUGCUCGUUUCGGCAGCACAUGUACUAAAAUUGGAACGAUACAGAGAAGAUUAGCAUGGCCCCUGCACAAGGAUGACAUGCAAAUUCAUGAAGCGUUCCAUAUUUUU